UACGUAGGUGGCAAGCGUUACUCGGAUUUACUAGGCGUAAAGCGCAUGUAGGUGGUUAUACAAGUCUAUAGUGUAAUUUCUCCGCUCAACGGGGACCUGUCUAUAGAAACUGUAUGACUUGAGUGUGGCAGGGGGAGAUGGAAUUCCAGGUGUAGCGGUGAAAUGCGUAGAUAUCUGGAGGAACACCAAUGGCGAAAGCAGUCUCCUGGGCCAAUACUGACACUGAGGUGCGAAAGCUAGGGGAGCAAACAGG
RNAcentral lists this ribosomal RNA (253 nucleotides) under uncultured bacterium. RNAcentral's name for it is "partial 16S ribosomal RNA". It matches the Rfam family "Bacterial small subunit ribosomal RNA", at positions 524 to 776 of the family's 1533-position model. The record is from RNAcentral.